RNAcentral lists this ribosomal RNA (855 nucleotides) under uncultured Actinomycetes bacterium. RNAcentral's name for it is "bacterial SSU rRNA". It matches the Rfam family "Bacterial small subunit ribosomal RNA", at positions 554 to 1412 of the family's 1533-position model. The record is from RNAcentral. Lineage: Bacteria; Bacillati; Actinomycetota; Actinomycetes.
UUGGGCGUAAGAGCUCGUAGGUCGUUUGUCGCGUCGAUUGUGAAAAUCUGAGGCUCAACCUCAGACCUGCAGUCGAUACGGGCAAACUAGAGUGUGGUAGGGGAGACUGGAAUUCCUGGUGUAGCGGUGGAAUGCGCAGAUAUCAGGAGGAACACCAAUGGCGAAGGCAGGUCUCUGGGCCAAUACUGACACUGAGGAGCGAAAGUCUGGGGAGCGAACAGGAUUAGAUACCCUGGUAGUCCAGACCGUAAACGGUGGGCACUAGUUGUGGGAACCUUCCACGGUUUCUGCGACGCAGCUAACGCAUUAAGUGCCCCGCCUGGGGAGUACGAUCGCAAGAUUAAAACUCAAAGGAAUUGACGGGGCCCCGCACAAGCAGCGGAGCAUGCGGCUUAAUUCGACGCAACGCGAAGAACCUUACCAAGGCUUGACAUAUAGGGAAAAGUGGCAGAGAUGUCAUGUCCGCAAGGGCUCUAUACAGGUGGUGCAUGGUUGUCGUCAGCUCGUGUCGUGAGAUGUUGGGUUAAGUCCCGCAACGAGCGCAACCCUCGUUCUGUGUUGCCAGCAUUUAGUUGGGGACUCACAGGAGACUGCCGGGGUUAACUCGGAGGAAGGUGGGGAUGACGUCAAAUCAUCAUGCCCCUUAUGUCUUGGGCUGCACGCAUGCUACAAUGGCCGGUACAGAGGGCUGCAAUACCGUAAGGUGGAGCGAAUCCCAAAAAGCCGGUCUCAGUUCGGAUUGAGGUCUGCAACUCGACCUCAUGAAGUUGGAGUUGCUAGUAAUCGUAGAUCAGCAUCGCUACGGUGAAUACGUUCCCGGGGCUUGUACACACCGCCCGUCACGUCACGAAAGUC